ACUUUCGCCAUGAAUUUUGGUUUUCAUUGUUUUUUGUAAUGAAAUUAAAAGGGAAUCUAGUGAAAAUCUAGAGCUGUUCCCGCAACUGUAAGCUUAGUCUUUGUUUUAAAGAUGGCUGCUAUUUCUUCGGUACCACUGUUAUUAGUUUAAUGGGAAGGUGAAUAGUAGUACGUAAGUCAGGAGACCUGCCAUAUUUUUAAUUUAAAU
Molecule: non-coding RNA, 207 nt
Filed under: Maribacter dokdonensis
Lineage: Bacteria; Pseudomonadati; Bacteroidota; Flavobacteriia; Flavobacteriales; Flavobacteriaceae
Source: RNAcentral